RNAcentral lists this unclassified non-coding RNA (547 nucleotides) under Fusarium brevicatenulatum. RNAcentral describes it as "sequence contains 18S rRNA gene, ITS1, 5.8S rRNA gene, ITS2, 28S rRNA gene". The stretch from base 192 to 345 matches the Rfam family "5.8S ribosomal RNA". The record is from RNAcentral. Lineage: Eukaryota; Fungi; Ascomycota; Sordariomycetes; Hypocreales; Nectriaceae.
UCGUAACAAGGUCUCCGUUGGUGAACCAGCGGAGGGAUCAUUACCGAGUUUACAACUCCCAAACCCCUGUGAACAUACCAAUUGUUGCCUCGGCGGAUCAGCCCGCUCCCGGUAAAACGGGACGGCCCGCCAGAGGACCCCCAAACUCUGUUUCUAUAUGUAACUUCUGAGUAAAACCAUAAAUAAAUCAAAACUUUCAACAACGGAUCUCUUGGUUCUGGCAUCGAUGAAGAACGCAGCAAAAUGCGAUAAGUAAUGUGAAUUGCAGAAUUCAGUGAAUCAUCGAAUCUUUGAACGCACAUUGCGCCCGCCAGUAUUCUGGCGGGCAUGCCUGUUCGAGCGUCAUUUCAACCCUCAAGCCCAGCUUGGUGUUGGGACUCGCGAGUUAAACCGCGUUCCCCAAAUUGAUUGGCGGUCACGUCGAGCUUCCAUAGCGUAGUAGUAAAACCCUCGUUACUGGUAAUCGUCGCGGCCACGCCGUUAAACCCCAACUUCUGAAUGUUGACCUCGGAUCAGGUAGGAAUACCCGCUGAACCUAAGCAUAUCA